CCCGAAAAUCUUUUUUUUUUUUAUUUUUUUUUAGCCAUUACCCGAAAAUCUCAAAUGUGAGUUUUUAAAAAUAAAAAAAAUAAAAAAAAAACAGAAAAUUAAUGAAACAAAAAAGUGAAAAACCCUAAUCUUCGUUCUUUUCUCAUUUCUUAGUCAUUGACUCAGCCUCCAUCCCCCUCUCUCUCUUCCUCUUCUCUAAUCUCUGGUUUUCUGAUCUCCAUUCUCCAAGUCUGUUCUUUGCCAAUGGUUAGCCGGUUACCUUAGAUCGUUGAUUCAGUUUAGGGUUCUUCGAACUUUGGGGCCUUUUCACGUUUACGCUGCGUCGCUUAACCCCUUCAUCUCCUCCAUUGAAGCGUACUUCGACUUCUCCUUUGAAGCGGUUUAUGAGGUUUCACUCCUCCAUCGAAGCAACUCUGAAGGAGUGUAUGGAAUCUGGUAGUGGGGAUAUGGAAGACUCAUCGGCUACAAGUCAAGCUCCUCCAAUUCCAAGUCCUCCUCCCAAGCCUUAGGAGUAUGACCCUUGUUCAAUGACGGAAAAUAAUGACCCCUUUGAGCAGCAAAAUCAAUCAAACCAACCUUCUGAAGUUGCUGAUGCUGCUACCCCCUUAAGUGAAACUUCAAAAAAAAACUAGAAAAAGGCGCUCUUCUCAUUGGGAGCAUUUUAUAAAGAAGGAUGGAGAAAACAAGGCUCAAUGUAUUUAUUGUCAUACAUUAAUUGGCUGUGCAUCACUUCAAGGUACCUCCGGCAUGAAGAACCACAUAAAGCGGUGUAAGGAAUACCCCCCAAACAUUGAUCAAAAUCAGCAACUAUUGUCCCUUAGUCAACAAACUCUUGAUGGGAAUCUUGUGGAUAAAAAAAGGUAGACUUGAGUUGUGGAAAUUCAAUCAAGAAGAUAGUAGGAAAGCUUUGGCAAAGAUGGUGAUUAUGGAUGAAAUGUCUUUUCCAAUGGUGGAGCAUGAAGGUUUUCGCAACUUUAUGAAGAAAUGUUACCUCUUGGUAAGGAACAAUCCCUCUUUGUUGAUGAUGAUUAGAGGCAGCAACUGUUAUAAGUAUGAAGGUUGGUGGUGAUUGAACUAUUGAAGGCUGAAGUCAUUGAAGGCUUGGAAUUAUUUUCUGAAUUAUGAUACUGUGGACAUUUUUUUUUUUAAAACUAUGGACUUUUUUUUUGUUAUGUAUCAGUUUAUUAUUUUUAAAACUAUGGACGUUUUUUUUUUAAGAAACUGUGUUUGUAUCAGGUAUUAGUUCAUUUGUAAUUAGGUUGAUGUGGUGGGUUAUUUGUGUAUUCAGGUUCAAUAUCAA
Molecule: long non-coding RNA, 1300 nt
Organism: Chenopodium quinoa (quinoa)
Lineage: Eukaryota; Viridiplantae; Streptophyta; Magnoliopsida; Caryophyllales; Amaranthaceae
Exons: 4
Source: RefSeq, a predicted model, not a curated record